CGCCCGCCGCGCCCCGCGCCCGUCCCGCCGCCCCCGCCCGCCUACGGGAGGCAGCAGUGGGGAAUUUUCCGCAAUGGGCGAAAGCCUGACGGAGCAAUACCGCGUGAGGGAUGACGGCCUAUGGGUUGUAAACCUCUUUUUUCAGGGAGGAACAAAAUGACGUGUACCUGAAGAAUAAGCAUCGGCUAACUCCGUGCCAGCAGCCGCGGUAAGACGGAGGAUGCAAGUGUUAUCCGGAAUCACUGGGCGUAAAGCGUCUGUAGGUGGUCAAAUAAGUCAACUGUUAAAUCUUGAGGCCCAACCUCAAAAUCGCAGUCGAAACUAUUAGACUAGAGUAUAGUAGGGGUAAAGGGAAUUUCCAGUGGAGCGGUGAAAUGCGUAGAGAUUGGAAAGAACACCGAUGGCGAAGGCACUUUACUGGGCUAUUACUAACACUCAGAGACGAAAGCUAGGGUAGCAAAUGGGAUUAGAUACCCCAGUAGUCCUAGCUGUAAACAAUGGAUACUAGAUGUUGGACAGAUCGACCUGUGCAGUAUCA
Molecule: ribosomal RNA, 538 nt
Filed under: uncultured phototrophic eukaryote
Lineage: Eukaryota
Description: bacterial SSU rRNA
Rfam family: Bacterial small subunit ribosomal RNA
Source: RNAcentral